GAUGAACGCUCGCUACAGGCUUAACACAUGCAAGUCGAGGGGAAACGACAUCGAAAGCUUGCUUUUGAUGGGCGUCGACCGGCGCACGGGUGAGUAACGCGUAUCCAACCUGCCCAUCACUUGGGAAUAACCUUGCGAAAGUAAGACUAAUACCCAAUGAUAUCCCACGAAGGCAUCGGAAUGGGAUUAAAGAUUUAUCGGUGAUGGAUGGGGAUGCGUCUGAUUAGCUUGUUGGCGGGGUAACGGCCCACCAAGGCAACGAUCAGUAGGGGUUCUGAGAGGAAGGUCCCCCACAUUGGAACUGAGACACGGUCCAAACGCCUACGGGAGGCAGCAGUGAGGAAUAUUGGUCAAUGGGCGAGAGCCUGAACCAGCCAAGUAGCGUGCAGGAAGACGGCCCUAUGGGUUGUAAACUGCUUUUAUAAGGGAAUAAAGUGGGUCACGUGUGACUUUUUGCAUGUACCUGAUGAAUAAGGACCGGCUAAUUCCGUG
This 492-nucleotide ribosomal RNA is filed under the name uncultured bacterium. RNAcentral's name for it is "partial 16S ribosomal RNA". It matches the Rfam family "Bacterial small subunit ribosomal RNA", at positions 28 to 507 of the family's 1533-position model. The record is from RNAcentral.